ACCCCUGUCUUCUCCAGUCUCUGAACACACUGACUCUAACCAUGGAAUGGCCUUGUAUAUUUCUCUUCCUCCUGUCAGUAACUGAAGGUGUCCCAUCCCAGGUUCAGCUGCAGCAGUCUGGGCCUGAGCUGGUGAAGCCUGGAGCCUCAGUGAAGAUGUCCUGCAAAGCUUCUGGCUACACAUUCAGUAGCUACUGGAUGAACUGGGUAAAGCAGAGGCCUGGACAGGGUCUUGAGUGGAUUGGACAGAUUUAUCCUGGAGAUGGUGAUACUAACUACAAUGAGAAGUUCAAGGGCAAAGCCACACUGACUGCAGACAAAUCCUCCAGCACAGCCUACAUGCAACUCAGCAGCCUGACAUCUGAGGACUCUGCGGUCUAUUUCUGUGCAAGACACAGUGUUGUAAUCACAUCCUGA
Non-coding RNA from Mus caroli (Ryukyu mouse), 416 nucleotides. The record is from the annotation of a RefSeq genome assembly. Lineage: Eukaryota; Metazoa; Chordata; Mammalia; Rodentia; Muridae.